UGGGGAAUAUUGGACAAUGGGCGAAAGCCUGAUCCAGCCAUGCCGCGUGUGUGAAGAAGGUCUUCGGAUUGUAAAGCACUUUAAUUUGGGAGGAAGGGCAGUAAGCGAAUACCUUGCUGUUUUGACGUUACCGACAGAAUAAGCACCGGCUAACUCUGUGCCAGCAGCCGCGGUAAUACAGAGGGUGCAAGCGUUAAUCGGAAUUACUGGGCGUAAAGCGCGCGUAGGUGGUUCGUUAAGUUGAAUGUGAAAGCCCCGAGCUCAACCUGGGAACUGCAACCAACACGGGCGAGCUAGCGUAGGGCAGAGUGUGGUCGAAUUUCCUGUGUAGCGGUGAAAUGCGUAGAUAUAGGAAGGAACACCAGUGGCGAAGGCGACCACCUGGGCUCAAACUGACACUGAGGUGCGAAAGCGUGGGGAGCAAACAGG
RNAcentral lists this ribosomal RNA (429 nucleotides) under Pseudomonadota bacterium. RNAcentral's name for it is "Proteobacteria bacterium partial 16S ribosomal RNA". It matches the Rfam family "Bacterial small subunit ribosomal RNA", at positions 355 to 776 of the family's 1533-position model. The record is from RNAcentral. Lineage: Bacteria; Pseudomonadati; Pseudomonadota.